CAGUCGCCGCGGUAAUACAGAGGGUGCGAGCGUUAAUCGGAUUUACUGGGCGUAAAGCGUGCGUAGGCGGCUUCUUAAGUCGGAUGUGAAAUCCCUGAGCUUAACUUAGGAAUUGCAUUCGAUACUGGGAAGCUAGAGUAUGGGAGAGGAUGGUAGAAUUCCAGGUGUAGCGGUGAAAUGCGUAGAGAUCUGGAGGAAUACCGAUGGCGAAGGCAGCCAUCUGGCCUAAUACUGACGCUCAGGUGCGAAAGCGUGGGGAGCAAACAGGAUUAGAUACCCGAGUAGUCCCUGUCUCUUAUAA
This 301-nucleotide ribosomal RNA is filed under the name uncultured bacterium. RNAcentral describes it as "partial 16S ribosomal RNA". It matches the Rfam family "Bacterial small subunit ribosomal RNA", at positions 509 to 809 of the family's 1533-position model. The record is from RNAcentral.